AUUUAGCUUUAUUUGUUUAUGUAUAAACUAUAUUACACCAUUCUUUUUGCAGACUUCAGCUUACCAAACUAAUAGCCUGAAAUUUGAAGGAUAUCCAAAAAUAUACACUCAGUUUAAUUCAAACGUAAUCUAUAUAUGCAGUUUGAAUUAUUGGAUUUGGUCUCUCUCAGUCAUAAAUAAAUUAUAUUAAGAUUUUGUUUUGCCGCUUCGCUAAUUGCAGCCGUUCCGUUAGUUGCAGCCUUUUUAUGAAAAUCUGCUUUUGGUUUAGCUCAAACAGCAAUUACAUUUAUGUAUAUGGUAUAUGGAAAUCGCACUGCAAAAUUUAUAUAAUAUGGGCGCUGGGAAAAAUAUGUGAAGCCUUAAAAAUUUGUGCGCAGCCAGCACUCACUUUCAUUAAUCCUUUAUGCCACAAGCCGUGCUAAAAGUCAUGUUGAGAAAUUAGUGGAUGGGUUAGAUAAACCAAUUCAGGUUGAUGUGCUCAACUUUGGAUUGUCUGUACUAAAAUGUCAACACUAGAUCGGAUAUAAGUCGUACCGUUACAGUAUCGAAAUGGACAAACUGCAUCAGAUCAAAAAAAAAAAAAACAUUCAGGAAACACAUCUUUCACGAUAUUAUGGUUGCUUUGCAAUAAUUUUAUUCACAAAAAAAUCUGGCAAUUACUAUUGGAGUGUAAGAGACUUCGGCGAACAUAAGUUAAACAUAGACUGUAGUUAUAUAGACUUGGCAGUACUGUUAUUUGAGAGAUUAUAAGAAUGCGCAAAACGUUGAUUGUUGUUGGUGUAGCGGUUAGAAGCAACGCUUAAGUGCUGCCAAGUUGACAGUCCUCGACCGUUUAAAAAUGCGAAUGCAUUUCGGUUACGUAGACCCGUCUGUCGUGGAGCUCUCGCUGUUCCUUAAAUAUAGGCCGGAAUAGAGAUGCCGAAACCGAAAGCAUAAAAAUUCAAAAUGGCCGCCUCUUCCUAAGUUGUUUGUUUUUUAGUUUUCAACCCUGCAAUCAACGCUACAAAAAGGUAUGUAUUUAAAGUUAAUUGGCGAAACCGAGAGUUUUGAGCAGUCACUUUACAUCACAGCUGAAGUUAUUACUAAUAUUCUAAAAAAAAUAUUUAAUUCUGUAAAUUAUAAAUAAAUAAAAAAGUUUUGAAUAAAUUGAACAAAAUGAAAACUUUA
Non-coding RNA from Bactrocera oleae (olive fruit fly), 1167 nucleotides. The record is from RefSeq and is a predicted model, not a curated record. NCBI's taxonomy places the organism in Eukaryota, Metazoa, Arthropoda, Insecta, Diptera, Tephritidae.